RNAcentral lists this ribosomal RNA (253 nucleotides) under uncultured bacterium. Its description in RNAcentral is "partial 16S ribosomal RNA". It matches the Rfam family "Bacterial small subunit ribosomal RNA", at positions 524 to 776 of the family's 1533-position model. The record is from RNAcentral.
UACGGAGGGUGCAAGCGUUAUUCGGAAUCACUGGGCGUAAAGGGUGCGUAGGCGGGCAGGUAAGUCAGUGGUGAAAUCUCCAAGCUUAACUUGGAAACUGCCGUUGAUACUAUCUGUCUUGAAUACCGUGGAGGUGAGCGGAAUAUGUCAUGUAGCGGUGAAAUGCUUAGAUAUGACAUAGAACACCAAUUGCGAAGGCAGCUCGCUACACGAAUAUUGACUCUGAGGCACGAAAGCGUGGGGAUCAAACAGG